UACAGAGGGUGCGAGCGUUAAUCGGAAUUACUGGGCGUAAAGCGCACGUAGGUGGCGACGUAAGUCGGGUGUGAAAGCCCCGGGCUCAACCUGGGAAUUGCAUUCGAGACUGCAUUGCUGGAGUACGGAAGAGGAAGGCGGAAUUCCCGGUGUAGCGGUGAAAUGCGUAGAUAUCGGGAAGAACAUCAGUGGCGAAGGCGGUCUGCUGGGCCGUUGCUGACGCUGAGGCGCGACAGCGUGGGGAGCAAACAGG
This 253-nucleotide ribosomal RNA is filed under the name uncultured bacterium. RNAcentral describes it as "partial 16S ribosomal RNA". It matches the Rfam family "Bacterial small subunit ribosomal RNA", at positions 524 to 776 of the family's 1533-position model. The record is from RNAcentral.